Molecule: ribosomal RNA, 460 nt
Filed under: uncultured bacterium
Lineage: Bacteria
Description: partial 16S ribosomal RNA
Rfam family: Bacterial small subunit ribosomal RNA
Source: RNAcentral
CCUACGGGAGGCUGCAGUGAGGAAUAUUGGUCAAUGGACGAGAGUCUGAACCAGCCAAGUAGCGUGAAGGAUGACUGCCCUAUAGGUUGUAAACUUCUUUUAUAUGGGAAUAAAAUGUUCCACGUGUGGGAUUUUGUAUGUACCAUAUGAAUAAGGAUCGGCUAACUCCGUGCCAGCAGCCGCGGUAAUACGGAGGAUCCGAGCGUUAUCCGGAUUUAUUGGGUUUAAAGGGAGCGUAGGUGGAUUGUUAAGUCAGUUGUGAAAGUUUGCGGCUCAACCGUAAAAUUGCAGUUGAAACUGGCAGUCUUGAGUACAGUAGAGGUGGGCGGAAUUCGUGGUGUAGCGGUGAAAUGCUUAGAUAGCACGAAGAACUCCGAUUGCGAAGGCAGUUCACUGGACUGCAACUGACACUGAGGCUCGAAAGUGUGGGUAUCAAACAGGAUUAGAUACCCCAGUAGUC